Molecule: ribosomal RNA, 510 nt
Filed under: uncultured Actinomycetes bacterium
Lineage: Bacteria; Bacillati; Actinomycetota; Actinomycetes
Description: bacterial SSU rRNA
Rfam family: Bacterial small subunit ribosomal RNA
Source: RNAcentral
UGGGGAAUCUUGCGCAAUGGGCGAAAGCCUGACGCAGCGACGCCGCGUGGGGGAUGAAGGCCUUAGGGUCGUAAACCCCUUUCAGCAGGGACGAAGAUGACGGUACCUGCAGAAGAAGCCCCGGCCAACUACGUGCCAGCAGCCGCGGUAAGACGUAGGGGGCGAGCGUUGUCCGGAAUUAUUGGGCGUAAAGGGCUCGUAGGCGGUUCGGUAAGUCGGAUGUGAAAACUCAGGGCUCAACCCUGAGACGCCAUCCGAUACUGCUGUGACUUGAGUUCGGUAGAGGAGUGUGGAAUUCCUGGUGUAGCGGUGAAAUGCGCAGAUAUCAGGAGGAACACCUACGGCGAAGGCAGCACUCUGGGCCGAAACUGACGCUGAGGAGCGAAAGCGUGGGUAGCAAACAGGAUUAGAUACCCUGGUAGUCCACGCCGUAAACGGUGGGCACUAGGUGUGGGGCCUUAUCAACGGGUUCCGUGCCGAAGCUAACGCAUUAAGUGCCCCGCCUGGGGA